Octopus sinensis (East Asian common octopus) is the source of this 955-nucleotide long non-coding RNA. RefSeq lists it as uncharacterized. The record is from RefSeq and is a predicted model, not a curated record. The transcript has 3 exons. Lineage: Eukaryota; Metazoa; Mollusca; Cephalopoda; Octopoda; Octopodidae.
UUUGCUUUUCAUCCUUUUGGAGUCAAUAAAAUAACUAUCAGUAAUAUUCUGGAGGUGAGUGAUAUGUCUAUACUCCUCCACUACAAAAUUUUUCAUAUAAUAUUCAAAGGAAAUUAUUAAAACUAUGAAUAUUAUUGUGAGAAUAAUGUAAUGGAAAUGGUUAGGAGUCCAUGCCUGAUGGUGUCUGCCGUUCUCGUACAUCUUGUUAUAUUUUGAGUUCAAAUCACGCUGCAUUGACUUUGUAUUUUGAUGGUCUAGCCUCUGUUGUGUAAAUACAUAUCAGUCAACUACUUGACUGAGUAUUAGUCCUCUCCCAAAAUUUGUUGACUUGUGUGUAUGAUGCACACUAUUGUUACUAUGGGAUUGAUUCAAGGUGGCGAGCUGACAAAAUUCUUAGAAUAUCAGAAGAAAUACGUUUGGAUAUUUCUUUUGGCUCUUUACAUUUCUUGUUUCAAAUCCUGCUAUGGUCAACUUUGUCUUUCAUCCUUGAGCUGACAAAAUCAUUGGAACAUUGGGAAAAUGUUUUGCACUAUUUUUUCCAGCUCUUUUCAUUCUGGUUCAAAUGCAGCUGAAAUCUUCUUUGAUGUUUAUCCCUCUGGGAUCAAUGAAAUAAAGUGCUAGUUAAGUACUGGGGUUGAUGAUAUUGACUAACCCACUCCCCUCAAAAUUGCUGACCUUGUACCUAAACUAGAAAUUAGCACCUUUAUUAUUAUUAUUAUUAUUAUUAAGGCAGUGAGCUGGCAGGAUCAUUACCAUGCUGAGAAAACUCUAAGUGGAAUUUCUUCUGACUUUGAAGUUCAAAUGUUGCCAGGCCUGACUUAACCUUUCACCCGUUUGGAGUUGAUAAAAUAAGUAUUAGUUGAAUACUGGGAUUGUUGUAAUCGACUAGCCUCCUCUCCUAAACUUGCUGGCCAUGUGCCAAAAUUUGAAAUAAUAAUAAUAAUAUUAAUCAUCA